RNAcentral lists this long non-coding RNA (527 nucleotides) under Brassica napus (rape). RNAcentral describes it as "long non-coding RNA (BNAP_LNC013765)". The record is from RNAcentral. Lineage: Eukaryota; Viridiplantae; Streptophyta; Magnoliopsida; Brassicales; Brassicaceae.
AGAUAACUCCUGAAAGCCUUAGACGAAACAGGCCUUCUGAUCCAAACAUAUCAGCUGACCCAAUAAGUGUACACCACAGAAUGGGCCUUAUGUCAAACUUGUCGGAGCCCACACGGAGGUUUAGAGACAAUAACCUCACAGUGUACUUCAGUUAAGUUCGGAUCCAUCUUCGGUUUUCAGAUUUAUCUGAAGCGGAAUCCAAAGUCCAAUGUAUUUGACACUAGCCCAGUUCUGGUAUUUUAAUUGGGAUAAUUAAGGGAUCCAAAACCAAAGCUAUACGACCCACUUCGGUUCGGUUUCGGGUUUUGGGUAUUAUGCCCGACCCUGGUCUAAGUCGUCUUUGGUAAUUGUGAAUGAAAUGUGAUGUGUGUGUGAGAUUCAUAAUGAACGUAUUCAUGAUUUUUGGUUUCGUUAUGUUAGGUAAGACAGAGAGAAAUUUAUAUUUACCAUGUAAAUUAUACUUUCCGUUUACCAUGUAGAAUCCUAGUGUGAAUGAAAUAUAUCGAUGAAUGAAAUAUAUCGAUUAG